Molecule: ribosomal RNA, 301 nt
Filed under: uncultured bacterium
Lineage: Bacteria
Description: partial 16S ribosomal RNA
Rfam family: Bacterial small subunit ribosomal RNA
Source: RNAcentral
CAGCCGCCGCGGGAAUACGUAGGUGGCAAGCGUUGUCCGGAAUUAUUGGGCGUAAAGGGCUCGCAGGCGGUUUCUUAAGUCUGAUGUGAAAGCCCCCGGCUCAACCGGGGAGGGUCAUUGGAAACUGGGAAACCUGAGUGCAGAAGAGGAGAGUGGAAUUCCACGUGUAGCGGUGAAAUGCGUAGAGAUGUGGAGGAACACCAGUGGCGAAGGCGACUCUCUGGUCUGUAACUGACGCUGAGGAGCGAAAGCGUAGGGAGCGAACAGGAUUAGAUACCCCUGUAGUCCCUGUCUCUUAUAC